RNAcentral lists this ribosomal RNA (271 nucleotides) under uncultured bacterium. RNAcentral's name for it is "partial 16S ribosomal RNA". It matches the Rfam family "Bacterial small subunit ribosomal RNA", at positions 524 to 794 of the family's 1533-position model. The record is from RNAcentral.
UACGUAGGUGGUGAGCGUUGUCCGGAAUUAUUGGGCGUAAAGGGCGCGUAGGCGGUUUUUUAAGUCAGAUGUGUAAUCCCCGAGCUCAACUUGGGAACUGUAUCUGAGACUGGAAGGCUAGAGUACUGGAGAGGGUGGUGGAAUUCCUCGUGUAGCGGUGAAAUGCGUAGAGAUGAGGAGGAACACCAGUGGCGAAGGCGGCCACCUGGACAGUAACUGACGCUGAGGCGCGAAAGUGUGGGUAGCAAACAGGAUUAGAUACCCCUGUAGU